CUUAUAAGGGUGUUUUCAUUGGCC
RNAcentral lists this non-coding RNA (24 nucleotides) under Arabidopsis thaliana (thale cress). The record is from RNAcentral. Lineage: Eukaryota; Viridiplantae; Streptophyta; Magnoliopsida; Brassicales; Brassicaceae.